UCCGGAGCCACAACAGGAACUCCUCCUAAAGUUAUUCUUUUAACAGGAACUCCUCCUAAAGUUAUUCUUUAAAGCAAAAACGGGAAGGGGACCUGGUUUCCCCAAGAACAUGCAUCUGGGCUGGGGCAGCCUUCUCCUGACUUAAAGGUCUGCGUUUUUACUACACUCUGUCACUGGUUUUAUCCCUGCCCUGCCUUAAUUAAAUGCUCUGAAGACAUAAAUAGGUUUUCUGUUUACUCAAGCUUGGGAGAAGCUGGCAGAAAAGGCCUCUUCAGCUAAAAGCUCCUUAAACCCUGAAGGUGUGAACCAGUAACAGCCAUGCAAACCCUUUCAGCUGCAGAUGCCUGUGCACAUGGCUUUGAAGCCAUGCAGUCAACCAACCUCCUUCUGGAAGGAGACAGGGAAGAGCAGCAGGAAUUCCAAGCCGGGAAGUCAGCCCACAGACCCUGACAGCAGAGGUUUAAUUAUUUUGCUCAUGGCAUUGGGAAGCCUGAGGCUGUUCCAGACCCACGCAUUCAGAGGUCAGCCGAAGGACGCAGUCUCGAGUCCAGACGCACUUUGGACCCAUUCUGUCCCCACUUCCCUCUCUUAGCAGGGCAGGUUGUCAGGGGCUGGUCCCAGGCAUGGACACUGUUCUCUGCCCUCGGUGCACAGGCCCGAGGGCAAUGAGGCCAGGGGAGGCCCUGACCCCCAGACAGACAGCUGCCCGGCAAAGACAGAGCCUCAGGCUCACAGGGGACUUGCUAAAAAUGAAGAGAACAUGAUGUCAACCAUUGAGCAACUAUGGCAGCCACAUAGAUCUGAUUCAGUAAACCAGCCACCCCCUCCCCAGGGACCACAGUUUACAGAUCUUCUAGAGGUUUCUGAAGAUUCUUUUACUCCGACUUCAGUGAGCUGGAGGAAACCUCGAAUGGCCACAUCGGACAUUACUGUCAGUACUACUGUUACUUGGGAUGACUUGGGGACCCCAAAGUCACCCCUUGGUGCCGCCACUGGGGUAUUUAUUUAUUCCGGACGGUUGCCGGGCUGUGCAGUCCCCCGGGCGCGGGCGGGUGGAGGCGCCGGACGGGGCGGUUGCCCACCGCGCAGCCGGGGGGCGGGGGGGGCCGGGGGGGGGGGGGGGGAGGAGGA
Molecule: long non-coding RNA, 1131 nt
Filed under: Sus scrofa (pig)
Lineage: Eukaryota; Metazoa; Chordata; Mammalia; Artiodactyla; Suidae
Description: lncRNA (ENSSSCG00065054775.1)
Source: RNAcentral